This 1284-nucleotide long non-coding RNA is filed under the name Olea europaea subsp. europaea. The record is from RNAcentral. Lineage: Eukaryota; Viridiplantae; Streptophyta; Magnoliopsida; Lamiales; Oleaceae.
UGAGUGCACACUGAAUGUCCAUGAGUAUGUCCGGGCUCGUUAUGAUGACCCCUGCGCCCGAGCCUGAGGAGUUUGAUGCUCCAUCCACGAAAAUUUGCCAAACAUCUGUUGUAGUGCUCGAGCUCUCUUCUGGCCCCUGAGCCUUUGGGGUGAGUUCUGCAAUAACGUCCGCUAAAGCUUGGGCUUUGAUGGACGGACGGAGCUUGAACUCUACGUCAAACUCCCCAAGUUCAAUUGCCCACUUUAGUAAUAUGCCUGAGACGUCUGGCUUUUGAAAGAUGUGUUUCAGAGGUUGAUUGGUGAGCACCACAAUGGGGUGAGACUAAAAAUAUUGUCGAAGCUUUCGUGCUGCCACUAUUAAGGCAAAAGCAAGUUGCUCGGCCAAUGUGUACCUGGUCUUCGCAUCAAGUAGGACUUUACUCACAUAGUAAAUGGGUUGUUGGGCUCUAUUGACCUCUUUUACCAAGACGCCACUUACUGCGUUUUGAGACACGGCUAAGUAAUAACAAAGUAUCCCCAGGCUCAAGUUUAGUGAGGAUAGGAGGAGACGCCAAUGUCUAUUUGAGCUCCUGAGAAGCCUUUUCACACUCCUCAUUCCAUUCAAAGGAUUGGCUGCCUCUAAGAACUUUGAAGAAAGGAAAGCACCUGUCUGCUGCUCGAGACAUGAACCUGUUUAGGGCUGCUACCUUCCCCGUCAAUUUUUACACUUCUUUCUUGGUUCUGGGCAAUUCCAUUGUUUCCAAGGCCUGGAUCUUAUCGGGGUUAGCUUCUAUCCCCCAAUGAGUGAUCAUGAAGCCUAAAAAUUUUCCCGAAGCUACACCGAAUACACAUUUUUCUAGGUUGAGCUUCAUCCGAUAUUUUCGUAGGGUGGUAAACACCUCCUCCAAGUCGGAUAUGUGCUGCUCUACCUUCUUGUUCUUUACAACCAUGUCGUCAACAUAGGCCUCGAUGUUCUUCCGUAUCAAAUCGACGAAGACUUUGUUAAUGAGCCUCUGAUAUGUCGCUCCAGCAUUUUUCAACCCAAAUGGCAUCACCCUAUAGCAAUAUAUGGCUGAAUCAGCCAUGAAUGAAGUCUUCUCUUACUCUUCUUCGGCCAUGAGGAUUUGAUGAUACCUUGAGAAUGCAUCUAAGAAGCUGUACAGCUUAUGUCCAGAUGUGCUAUCCACAAGAUUGUCAAUCCUGGGUAGCGGGUAGCUGUCUUUUGGGCAUGCCUUAUUGAGAUCUGUGAAGUUGAUGCAAACCCUCCAUUUACCACUGGUCUUCUUCACAAGAACAACAUUAGCG